This is a small nucleolar RNA of Pipistrellus kuhlii (Kuhl's pipistrelle), 182 nucleotides long. RefSeq annotates it as small nucleolar RNA SNORA81. NCBI's taxonomy places the organism in Eukaryota, Metazoa, Chordata, Mammalia, Chiroptera, Vespertilionidae. The transcript has a single exon. The record is from RefSeq and is a predicted model, not a curated record.
GCCUUCUGUAGGACAGGCACUGAGUUAAAACUGGGAAAACGAGGCUUCCAUCGUGGCUUCCGUAAUGAUGCCAGCAGCAUGUACACAGAAGAUAAGUAACUUAGUAGACAGUCAAGACUAGGUAGGGCGAACCUUUUUCUUAAUGUCCAAUGUCCUUUGUCUUAAGAGUUCGUGCAAUAUGU